Molecule: non-coding RNA, 106 nt
Filed under: Yersinia massiliensis
Lineage: Bacteria; Pseudomonadati; Pseudomonadota; Gammaproteobacteria; Enterobacterales; Yersiniaceae
Description: Yersinia sRNA 224
Rfam family: Yersinia sRNA 224
Source: RNAcentral
AGAUUGCUGGCAAUGUGCCUGUUGUGGCGAGAAUAAGCAGAUUGUAAAGACGCCGUAAAAUCAUCCCUGAUGGCUCGAGCCGCGCCAUCCUUGGCGCGGACGCUUU